Gallus gallus (chicken) is the source of this 394-nucleotide long non-coding RNA. The record is from Ensembl. Lineage: Eukaryota; Metazoa; Chordata; Aves; Galliformes; Phasianidae.
AUUGCUGGAUGGCCAGGGAAGUGAUGCUCUUAAAGCUUCUUUGUCAGAUAGAUACCUACAAGCCCUGAAUCAUCACAGCUGGAGGGCACUCAGUCACCUCCUCACAAAUCACAGAAUUGCAGGGGUUGGAAGAGACUUCAGGAGAUUGAGUCCAACCCCCCUGCUAAAACAGGCACAGGCAGAGCUCCCACGGAGAAACAUGGGAGGCCCAAAAUGAAUGAUGGAGGAUGGAGGCUUUCAAACAAAGAAACCACAGAUGGAGGCAAGGGAAGACUGUGCUUCUGCCAUACAAAAAGUUCCACUGAGGUGACUACCUCCAAAGACAUUCUGAAGAUAAUUGAGUAAGUGGGUGCGUACCUAUGUACAGAAUAGCAAAAGGCGUUUUGCCCUGUUC